RNAcentral lists this ribosomal RNA (373 nucleotides) under Aplanochytrium sp. PBS07. RNAcentral's name for it is "partial Bacterial large subunit ribosomal RNA". It matches the Rfam family "Bacterial large subunit ribosomal RNA", at positions 499 to 874 of the family's 2925-position model. The record is from RNAcentral. Lineage: Eukaryota; Bigyra; Thraustochytrida; Thraustochytriidae.
UACCGUGAGGGAAUUGUGAAAAGAACCCCGAAAGGGGAGUGAAACAGAACCUGAAACCUUGUGCCUACAAGCAGACAGAGGGCAACAGCCUGAUGUCGUACCUUUUGUAGAAUGGGCCAGCGAGUUAUCAUAUAAAGCAAGGUUAAGUCUUUAAGAGAUGCAGCCAAAGCGAAAGCGAGUCUUAAUAGGGCGUUUAGUCUGUGGUAUCUGGACGUGAAACGGGAUGAUCUAGGCAUGUGCAGGAUGAAGCGUGGGUAACACCACGUGGAGGUCCGAACCAGUUAAGGUUGAAAACUUUUUGGAUGACGUGUGCCUAGGGGUGAAAGGCUAAUCAAAUUCCGUGAUAGCUCGUUCUCUCCGAAAUAGGUUUAGG